GAUUGAACGCUGGCGGCAGGCCUAACACAUUCAAGUCGAACGGUAACAGGAAACAGCUUGCUGUUUCGCUGACGAGUGGCGGACGGGUGAGUAAUUUCUGGGAAACUGCCUGAUGGAGGGGGAUAACUACUGGAAACGGUAUCUAAUACCGCAUAACGUCGCAAGACCAAAGAGGGGGACCCUCGGGCCUCUUGCCAUCGGAUGUGCCCAGAUGGGAUUAGCUUGUUGGUGGGGUAACGGCUCACCAAGGCGACGAUCCCUAGCUGGUCUGAGAGGAUGACCAGCCACACUGGAACUGAGACACGGUCCAGACUCCUACGGGAGGCAGCAGUGGGGAAUAUUGCACAAUGGGCGCAAGCCUGAUGCAGCAAUGCCGCGUGUAUGAAGAAGGCCUUCGGGUUGUAAAGUACUUUCAGCGGGGAGGAAGGGAGUAAAGUUAAUACCUUUGCUCAUUGACGUUACCCGCAGAAGAAGCACCGGCUAACUCCGUG
This 491-nucleotide ribosomal RNA is filed under the name uncultured bacterium. Its description in RNAcentral is "partial 16S ribosomal RNA". It matches the Rfam family "Bacterial small subunit ribosomal RNA", at positions 27 to 507 of the family's 1533-position model. The record is from RNAcentral.